AUCUUUUCAUCACUUCAAGCAUAGCCAAAACUAAUGUAUGGUUUGUAGAGAUUCAGAGCAUGGGAAAAUUUUAUAUUGCUGUAUAUUGAUAUGCUGUAUACAAGACACAAUAUAUAGAGAUUACAAGAAAUAGAAUAUUGUGAUGUUGACUGAGUAAAAGAUACAAAGUUUAAUGUUGAAAAGUUGGUAAGAUAUGGGAUAAAGAUAGCCUUUAUUCCCUAAUACCCCCCAUUAAACUGAAGGCACAAUGGAGAGAAGCCAUAGUUUGUCUUUGUGCCGAGCAAAUAGCUUAGGGCCCAGUGGUUUCGUCAUAAUAUCAGCGAGCUGGUCAUUUGUAGAAAUGUACUAAAUUUUAAUAGUGCCGGCCUGGACUUAUUCCCAAACAAAAUGAUAGUCCAGCUCAAUAUGCUUCUUUCGAGCAUGGAAGAUAGGAUUGGAGCUAAGAUAAAUGGCGCCAAUGUUAACACCAAAGUACAGUAGGUGGCAGCUGAGAAUAUCCAAGUUCCAUAAGGAGAUUCCGAAGCCACAUCAA
This 532-nucleotide unclassified non-coding RNA is filed under the name Hevea brasiliensis (rubber tree). Lineage: Eukaryota; Viridiplantae; Streptophyta; Magnoliopsida; Malpighiales; Euphorbiaceae. The record is from RNAcentral.